Molecule: ribosomal RNA, 253 nt
Filed under: uncultured bacterium
Lineage: Bacteria
Description: partial 16S ribosomal RNA
Rfam family: Bacterial small subunit ribosomal RNA
Source: RNAcentral
UACGUAGGGGGCGGGCGUUAUCCGGAAUUCCUGGGCGUAAAGGGUGUGUAGGCGGCUUGCACAGUCAGGCGUGAAAUUCCUGGGCUCAACCUGGGGACUGCGCUUGAGACGUGUGGGCUUGAGUGGGGAAGAGGGUCGUGGAAUUCCCAGUGUAGAGGUGAAAUUCGUAGAUAUUGGGAAGAACACCGGUGGCGAAGGCGGCGACCUGGUCCUUGACUGACGCUGAGGCGCGAAAGCGUGGGGAGCAAACAGG